CAUCUAUAAAGCUCACAGCCACGUGGGAGGGGUUUGCUUCACAAGAUUUUGGUCCACUGUGCUACUCUUAGGAGAAGGAGCUCAUCAUCAAGUCUUCCACUAAACUGUCCCCUCAAGAUUUCCAGGACUCCGGGGAGCCACACCCAGCUCUGGCCUCGCGUCACUACGCUCUGCAAUAGGAGGACGGUAGGGUCCUUGGCCAUGCUGGCUCGCCUGGUCACGGCGACUCCCACGCACGCCCGGACUCCUGGUGCUGGUGCUCGCUCAGCAGGCGCGGCUGGGGGCGGCUGACCGAGGGGCCUGGGCCCAAGAAGCUCUGCUUUAUGAAGACACCGGGCGCAGGGAGGUCCUCCAGUUCCCCCAUCCCACUGUGAGUGUCCAGAGGUGGAAGAGAAAGGUGUUUAGGGCAAAAUCUCAUGCCUAGAACUAGGACCAGCCGUGGCAGCAACAGGCCUCGCAGAAGCAAGGCUUGUUGUCAGUGGGGGUCUGGGAUCCCUGCAGGCCAAGGACAGCAUGCGAAGGCUGGAGGUUCACAGGUGGAGAUGUUGCCCAGGGGCCCUGGAGGCGUGGCCACAGCGUCUGGGU
This 585-nucleotide long non-coding RNA is filed under the name Homo sapiens (human). Its description in RNAcentral is "HSALNT0161908". Lineage: Eukaryota; Metazoa; Chordata; Mammalia; Primates; Hominidae. The record is from RNAcentral.